Molecule: ribosomal RNA, 253 nt
Filed under: uncultured Ruminococcus sp.
Lineage: Bacteria; Bacillati; Bacillota; Clostridia; Eubacteriales; Oscillospiraceae
Description: partial 16S ribosomal RNA
Rfam family: Bacterial small subunit ribosomal RNA
Source: RNAcentral
UACGGAGGGUGCAAGCGUUACUCGGAAUCACUGGGCGUAAAGAGCGCGUAGGCGGCUUAGUAAGUCAGAAGUGAAAUCCAUGGGCUUAACCCAUGAACUGCUUUUGAAACUGCUAAGCUUGAGUGGAGUAGAGGUAGGCGGAAUUCCCGGUGUAGCGGUGAAAUGCGUAGAGAUCGGGAGGAACACCAGUGGCGAAGGCGGCCUACUGGGCUCUAACUGACGCUGAGGCACGAAAGCGUGGGUAGCAAACAGG